AUUGAACGCUGGCGGCAGGCCUAACACAUGCAAGUCGAGCGGAUGAAGGGAGCUUGCUCCUGGAUUCAGCGGCGGACGGGUGAGUAAUGCCUAGGAAUCUGCCUGGUAGUGGGGGAUAACGUCCGGAAACGGGCGCUAAUACCGCAUACGUCCUGAGGGAGAAAGUGGGGGAUCUUCGGACCUCACGCUAUCAGAUGAGCCUAGGUCGGAUUAGCUAGUUGGUGGGGUAAAGGCCUACCAAGGCGACGAUCCGUAACUGGUCUGAGAGGAUGAUCAGUCACACUGGAACUGAGACACGGUCCAGACUCCUACGGGAGGCAGCAGUGGGGAAUAUUGGACUAUGGGCGAAAGCCUGAUCCAGCCAUGCCGCGUGUGUGAAGAAGGUCUUCGGAUUGUAAAGCACUUUAAGUUGGGAGGAAGGGCAGUAAGUUAAUACCUUGCUGUUUUGACAUUACCAACAGAAUAAGCACCGGCUAACUUCGUG
This 484-nucleotide ribosomal RNA is filed under the name uncultured bacterium. RNAcentral's name for it is "partial 16S ribosomal RNA". It matches the Rfam family "Bacterial small subunit ribosomal RNA", at positions 30 to 507 of the family's 1533-position model. The record is from RNAcentral.